UAGCUGACCUGCUAAUGCUUUAAAGUAAAGCUCAGAAAACACAGCGAACUAGCAUUGGCGUUACCAUGGCUAACAAAAGAACAGGGAAAAUAGCGGUAACGGUUCGUGUGUUUAUGUUAUUUUUAUUCUGUAUUUUUUAUCUAAUUCAAGUCCCACGUUUAAUGCAGUUUAACUUUAAGCUUAUUCGAGGGUUUAUAAGCACAAGUACAACAUGUAUGACCUGAAACGGCUAGUGAAGGAGAAAGGAUAUGAAGAGAAACUGAAUCCGUCAUAACAAAACCUCUGGUCAGUAUGGAACAUAACUAUGUUAGUCCAUUUUUCUACACUGCAAGGAUGGCACCGCCUCAGUAGGACAUUGCGUUGCUCAUACCGGUCAAGAGGAGCCACCUGAGCACAUUGUAGCGUUUUACCUUUUACGAUCGUUCGCACCUCACGGUUAGCAUUAGCCACUUGCUAACGAGGACGAGCUGGCUCACCUGGCCGCUAUUGCGUCGGCAGCACUACGGUCCUCCCUGGUCGGGCGGCGUGGGGGUGUGGAAAUAACAGCAUGCGACAAGUUCAGGCCCCCACAGCGCCCGCGUUCAGAUUCAAACCCAACCGAAGAUUUUUGCAGAGACCUGCAAAUAGUGGUACAGUGAUGCUCCCCAUCCAGUCUUCUGCAGAGAGGAAUGAGAGAAGAUCCCCAAAUCCAGACAGAAGAGGGACCUGAAUGUCUGACCUUUAGGAGACCCUGGCCUAGAGGACUGUUUCAGUUUAUAAACGACAUCAGAGACAUAAUGACCAACAUGAAGAGGCCCACAAGAGGAGACAGAUGGACACAAAUCUUGAUUGUUCACAACACCAAUUUGUCAUCAUCAGCACCAUCAGCAUCAUCAGGAAAACCAGACAAAAUCACUGGUUUUUGCAACAUCAGCAUAAUCAACCAUUGGUUUGGACAUAAUCAAUAAAUGUUGAUCAGUCAAUCAAUAAGUCAAUCAAUCAAACAAUCAAUCAACCAAUCAACCGUCAUGUUCACUCAGAAAUACAUUGACAGUGACCCCCAUUUCCAGUGC
Molecule: long non-coding RNA, 1052 nt
Organism: Pygocentrus nattereri (red-bellied piranha)
Lineage: Eukaryota; Metazoa; Chordata; Actinopteri; Characiformes; Serrasalmidae
Source: Ensembl